CGGCAGCGCGGGAGCAAUCCUGGCGGCGAGUGGCGAACGGGUGAGUAAUACAUCGGAACGUGCCCAAUCGUGGGGGAUAACGCAGCGAAAGCUGUGCUAAUACCGCAUACGAUCUACGGAUGAAAGCAGGGGAUCGCAAGACCUUGCGCGAAUGGAGCGGCCGAUGGCAGAUUAGGUAGUUGGUGGGGUAAAGGCUCACCAAGCCUUCGAUCUGUAGCUGGUCUGAGAGGACGACCAGCCACACUGGGACUGAGACACGGCCCAGACUCCUACGGGAGGCAGCAGUGGGGAAUUUUGGACAAUGGGCGAAAGCCUGAUCCAGCCAUGCCGCGUGCAGGAUGAAGGCCUUCGGGUUGUAAACUGCUUUUGUACGGAACGAAACGGCUCUUUCUAAUAAAGAGGGCUAAUGACGGUACCGUAAGAAUAAGCACCGGCUAACUACGUGCCAGCAGCCGCGGUAAUACGUAGGGUGCAAGCGUUAAUCGGAAUUACUGGGCGUAAAGCGUGCGCAGGCGGUAAUGUAAGACAGUUGUGAAAUCCCCGGGCUCAACCUGGGAACUGCAUCUGUGACUGCAUUGCUGGAGUACGGCAGAGGGGGAUGGAAUUCCGCGUGUAGCAGUGAAAUGCGUAGAUA
This 634-nucleotide ribosomal RNA is filed under the name Variovorax sp. GLT-Slr-65. RNAcentral describes it as "bacterial SSU rRNA". It matches the Rfam family "Bacterial small subunit ribosomal RNA", at positions 67 to 696 of the family's 1533-position model. Lineage: Bacteria; Pseudomonadati; Pseudomonadota; Betaproteobacteria; Burkholderiales; Comamonadaceae. The record is from RNAcentral.